CAGUAGCCGCGGUAAUACGUAGGGUGCGAGCGUUAAUCGGAAUUACUGGGCGUAAAGCGUGCGCAGGCGGUUAUAUAAGUCAGAUGUGAAAUCCCCGGGCUCAACCUGGGAACUGCAUUUGAGACUGUAUGGCUAGAGUGUGUCAGAGGGGGGUAGAAUUCCACGUGUAGCAGUGAAAUGCGUAGAUAUGUGGAGGAAUACCGAUGGCGAAGGCAGCCCCCUGGGAUAACACUGACGCUCAUGCACGAAAGCGUGGAGAGCAAACAGGAUUAGAUACCCGUGUAGUCCCUGUCUCUUAUAC
Molecule: ribosomal RNA, 301 nt
Filed under: uncultured bacterium
Lineage: Bacteria
Description: partial 16S ribosomal RNA
Rfam family: Bacterial small subunit ribosomal RNA
Source: RNAcentral